RNAcentral lists this ribosomal RNA (880 nucleotides) under Pseudomonas sp. RNAcentral describes it as "bacterial SSU rRNA". It matches the Rfam family "Bacterial small subunit ribosomal RNA", at positions 61 to 935 of the family's 1533-position model. The record is from RNAcentral. Lineage: Bacteria; Pseudomonadati; Pseudomonadota; Gammaproteobacteria; Pseudomonadales; Pseudomonadaceae.
GUCGAGCGGAUGAAGGGAGCUUGCUCCUGGAUUCAGCGGCGGACGGGUGAGUAAUGCCUAGGAAUCUGCCUGGUAGUGGGGGAUAACGUCCGGAAACGGGCGCUAAUACCGCAUACGUCCUGAGGGAGAAAGUGGGGGAUCUUCGGACCUCACGCUAUCAGAUGAGCCUAGGUCGGAUUAGCUAGUUGGUGGGGUAAAGGCCUACCAAGGCGACGAUCCGUAACUGGUCUGAGAGGAUGAUCAGUCACACUGGAACUGAGACACGGUCCAGACUCCUACGGGAGGCAGCAGUGGGGAAUAUUGGACAAUGGGCGAAAGCCUGAUCCAGCCAUGCCGCGUGUGUGAAGAAGGUCUUCGGAUUGUAAAGCACUUUAAGUUGGGAGGAAGGGCAGUAAGUUAAUACCUUGCUGUUUUGACGUUACCAACAGAAUAAGCACCGGCUAACUUCGUGCCAGCAGCCGCGGUAAUACGAAGGGUGCAAGCGUUAAUCGGAAUUACUGGGCGUAAAGCGCGCGUAGGUGGUUCAGCAAGUUGGAUGUGAAAUCCCCGGGCUCAACCUGGGAACUGCAUCCAAAACUACUGAGCUAGAGUACGGUAGAGGGUGGUGGAAUUUCCUGUGUAGCGGUGAAAUGCGUAGAUAUAGGAAGGAACACCAGUGGCGAAGGCGACCACCUGGACUGAUACUGACACUGAGGUGCGAAAGCGUGGGGAGCAAACAGGAUUAGAUACCCUGGUAGUCCACGCCGUAAACGAUGUCGACUAGCCGUUGGGAUCCUUGAGAUCUUAGUGGCGCAGCUAACGCGAUAAGUCGACCGCCUGGGGAGUACGGCCGCAAAGGUUAAAACUCAAAUGAAUUGACGGGGGCCCGCACAAGCGGUGG